UACGUAGGGUGCAGGCGUUAAUCGGAAUUACUGGGCGUAAAGCGUGCGCAGGCGGUUUGUUAAGACAGGUGUGAAAUCCCCGGGCUUAACCUGGGAAUUGCGCUUGUAACUGGCAGACUAGAGUGUGGCAGAGGGGGGUGGAAUUCCAAGUGUAGCAGUGAAAUGCGUAGAUAUUUGGAGGAACACCGAUGGCGAAGGCAGCCCCCUGGGCUAACACUGACGCUCAUGCACGAAAGCGUGGGGAGCAAACAGG
Molecule: ribosomal RNA, 253 nt
Filed under: uncultured bacterium
Lineage: Bacteria
Description: partial 16S ribosomal RNA
Rfam family: Bacterial small subunit ribosomal RNA
Source: RNAcentral